This 1008-nucleotide unclassified non-coding RNA is filed under the name Leishmania donovani. Its description in RNAcentral is "gene:unknown". Lineage: Eukaryota; Euglenozoa; Kinetoplastea; Trypanosomatida; Trypanosomatidae. The record is from RNAcentral.
GAUUGCUUGGUGGUGUGAGUCUCUCUGUGUUCCCGAUGACGGGGAGCACUUCGGCGCUGUUUCAGUGUCCAGAACCCGUUCCGUGGAUAAGGGAAGGAGUCCCCUAUUGCUGAGAAUUCCGAAACCGCCUUUGGUGGCCACAGGGUCAGGUACCCGACGAAGUGGGGGCCAUCAGAGCGAUGCAUCGCUACGGAUGCCGGCGGCCAGGUCUUGGAGGACGUAGCGUCGGAGCGAGCUGCGACAGUGCACUGGUUCGUAGCAUCCACAGAGGAUCGGCAGAGUGUCAGUGUCACUCGAACGUAUCUCACCCCCGGCCCUUACACCGCCCACUGAUAUGAGGAGUCUGAGCCACCAAGUGGUGAGCGGGAUAAUGGGAAGCGGCUGUGGGGCGACCUGCGAAGCGGGUGAGUAGGUACGGUUUCAGGAAGAAGCCGCACUCAGAUGACCGAUUCGUCUAAAUGGUCUAGCACGCGUGUGUAUAGCGCUGCUUCGCAUCAAGAGGGUGAGCCGGUGACGGGCCGGGUCUGGGGAGGAGUUAAACUCAUGCUUUAUGGCAGAGACACGGACACGUUAGCGCGAACAAGUCUCUCUCUUUAUAUGUGUGUGCCCCACGAGUGUACGCGGCGCAUGUAUGGGGAGGAGAGAAGGCGCGCCGUCUGCCUCUCCGUCUCCUCAUUCUUCUUGCGCCGGACUUCCCUGUGUGUUUCUUCGUUUUGGUUGUUUCCGCACCGUAACGCAGCUCGCCUCUCCUUUUUUCUUUGCUUUUUCGUGUUGUGCAUUUUGUGUGCGUGCUGUAGGCUUCGUACUUAGCGCGUCAGUAAACGUUGCCGUCUUUGUUCCUCCUCCCCCUCCCCCUCCCCCUCCCCUUUUUCCUUUUUUUUGUCGCAUGGCCUGAGCGCUCUCGUUCUCUCUCCCUUGUGCCACCUGGCAUGACGAUAUCCACAGGCCUCAUGGGGAGGGGGAUGGGUGGGCGUGUUCGCCGGCGUGUACGCGCCCGUGGCUUGGAGU